GAGGUAGAGGCGCGAUAUUUAUUAGUUUUUAGUCGAGUUAGAGAAAACGAUGAAGCUAAAAAGAAGGAAAUGUCGCCGAAGCUUAAAAUGGAUCUCACCAUUUUUUGCUGGGUCUGCAAUUAAUAAUUGCAGGACUGUCUCAUUUAAGUA
RNAcentral lists this non-coding RNA (150 nucleotides) under Kurthia senegalensis. Its description in RNAcentral is "Lysine riboswitch". It matches the Rfam family "Lysine riboswitch aptamer", at positions 5 to 158 of the family's 182-position model. Rfam says of the family: Riboswitches are metabolite binding domains within certain messenger RNAs that serve as precision sensors for their corresponding targets. Lineage: Bacteria; Bacillati; Bacillota; Bacilli; Caryophanales; Caryophanaceae. The record is from RNAcentral.